RNAcentral lists this ribosomal RNA (442 nucleotides) under uncultured bacterium. RNAcentral describes it as "partial 16S ribosomal RNA". It matches the Rfam family "Bacterial small subunit ribosomal RNA", at positions 338 to 795 of the family's 1533-position model. The record is from RNAcentral.
CCUACGGGCGGCAGCAGUAGGGAAUCUUUCACAAUGGGCGAAAGCCUGAUGGAGCAACGCCGCGUGCAGGAUGAAGGCCUUCGGGUUGUAAACUGCUUUUAUAAGCGAGAAAUAUGAUUGUAACUUCUCCAUAAGGAUCAGCUACCUCCGUGCCAGCAGCCGCGGUCAUACUUAGGAGCAGAGCAUUAUCCGGAGUGACUGUGUGUAAAGCGUUGCGUAGGUGGCAUAAGUAGUAGCUAGUGAAAUCUGGUGGCUCAACCAUUCAGACUAUUAGCUAAACUGUUAAGCUCGAGACCGUUAGGGGUAACUGGAAUUUCUAGUGUAGGAGUGAAAUCCGUAGAUAUUAGAAAGAACACCAAUAGCGUAGGCAGGUUACUGGGACGGGUCUGACACUAAGGCACGAAAGCGUAGGGAGCAAACGGGAUUAGAUACCCUGGUAGUC